GGCUAACGCUGGCGGCGUGUCUUAGCCAUGCAAGUCGAGCGGACUUAUGGGGUAACUUAUAAGUCAGCGGCGGACGGCGGAGUAACACGUAGCUAACCUACCCUCUGGACGGGGAUAACCUACCGAAAGGUGGGCUAAUACCCGAUGUAGUCAUCCUGUAUAGGGGUGAUGAAAGGUGGGCCUCUGUUUACAAGCUCAUGCUGGAGGAGGGGGCUGCGGCCUAUCAGGUAGUUGGUAGGGUAAUAGCCUACCAAGCCGAUGACGGGUAGCCGGCCUGAGAGGGUGACCGGCCCGAGGGGCACUGAGAUACGGGUCCCACUCCUACGGGAGGCAGCAGGCUAGAAAUUUGGGCAAUGGGGGAAACCCUGACCCAGUGACGCCGCGUGCAGGAAGGAGCCCUUCGGGGUGUAAACUGCUGUCGUGUAGGGAGAAGGGUACUAAGGUGAACAAUCUUAGUACUUGACGGUACUACAGGAGGAAGCCCAGGCUAACCUCGUG
Molecule: ribosomal RNA, 498 nt
Filed under: uncultured bacterium
Lineage: Bacteria
Description: bacterial SSU rRNA
Rfam family: Bacterial small subunit ribosomal RNA
Source: RNAcentral